CGGCCAUUCCCCCGCGCCUUGAGUUCAGCCGGCGGAACGCCUGACACUGGGAAGGUUUUUUUGGGGGGGUUAUCGGGGGGAGACUAACCUUCGGGGACAACACAAUUCCGGUGCCCCGGAUCCUCGGCAGGGAACCAGGGCGGGGGGUGUGUGGGGAGAUGAGCAAAGAGAGCAGAGAAAGAGGAAGAGAGACCCCCCCCCAGCCCUCCCGGUCCACCCUUCUGCAGUCCCCACCAAGGUGGCCUGGGAGCUCGCAGCUCGCUGGGCUGCGGGGAGUACGCACAACACCCCCCUCCUCUAGAAGUCCCCCCAGCCCCCUCCGCAGUACCCCCCAGUCCAGCGCGGACGGUCGAGGGGGAGGCCAGGCCGGGAGCGCGGGCCCGGAGCGCCGGGGGCGGAAGCGCGAAACGGUAGAGACCUACUUUUGGCUAGCUUUCUGGCCCUCGCCUUGGAUCUCAUGUUGUCGGCUGGCUGAAUCCCUCUCCUCCUCCUUGACUCCCGAAGCUGCUACACGCUAUCUUCAUCUCCCCAGCAUUGUCAAUUCCGGACACCUUCGCACAUGCGCACAGAGCCUUCAAUCUGACACCCCUCGCCGGGGCCAAAAAAACUUUCCAAUGUAUUCACCAUCAUCACCAUCACCAUCAUCACCAUCAUCAUCAUUGGCGGCGGAGGCGCUGAGUACGGGCUGGAGGUGGGAUUGCUUUGGGGGGACAUUUUCUUCUUUCUUUCUUUCUUUCUUUUGGGGGGGUGCUCUCCUCUUCCUCACCUCACUUGUCUCCCCCCUUCCUCCUCCCUUCUUCCCCCUCCCCCUCCCCCUCUGCCUCCUUCUCAACCACCUCGGAGCCUCUCACGACUGGCCCUUUAAGAGAAUAUUCCGUCCUCUCUCCGCGCUCCUGCCCCCGGCCGGCCCCACAGCCCGGACGCGCUUUCACCGGAUCAAGCCCAGUGUCUGGCCAGCAAGGAGAGGCACUGAAGCCGAGAGACCAAUUGGGAGAGACUGCAGGACGAGCCGGCUCAGAACGUAUGCUCCUCCCAACUCCCUCCCCAGGAAAACCUGCCCAAGGCAUAAAGUCGCUCCCAAAAUGCUUCUCAGAUCCAUGAGAGGACUCUGUUCUAGCCUUCAAUGGAGCUCAUGCAGUUUUCUCCACCUAAGCCCCGAGGGGAAAGCCCUGGCAUCUCUAGGAGGGUUCUGGAAGCAGUUCGAGAGUUAG
Molecule: long non-coding RNA, 1211 nt
Filed under: Phascolarctos cinereus (koala)
Lineage: Eukaryota; Metazoa; Chordata; Mammalia; Diprotodontia; Phascolarctidae
Description: lncRNA (ENSPCIG00000034306.1)
Source: RNAcentral